UUCUUCAUAUCCACCGACACCUCAAUGUUAAUGUUGAUGCGAGUAUAACUGAUUUUAUCGGCAGAAAAAAAAACGUCGACUUGACUUUGAGUAAAUGUAGCAUUGUCUUUGUGUAUGAAACUGGAUCUGAAAGUUAUUCAUAAAAGUUCAGAAAUAUUAAAUUUGUUUAACCAAUUUUUGCCCAAAUUUGAGUUAAAAGAUUCGUUCAAAAAAGUUGAAAAUCUUUGCCUUUGACCCUCUGUG
Molecule: long non-coding RNA, 243 nt
Filed under: Mytilus galloprovincialis (Mediterranean mussel)
Lineage: Eukaryota; Metazoa; Mollusca; Bivalvia; Mytilida; Mytilidae
Source: RNAcentral